GUAAAUAAUUAAGGGCGUAUGGUGGAUGCCUAGGCUCUCAGAGGCGAUGAAGGACGUGAUAAGCUGCGAAAAGCUCCGUUUAGGUGCAAAUAACCUUUGAUGCGGAGAUCUCCGAAUGGGAUAACCCAAUAUGUUGAAGACAUAUUAUACCGUAAGGUAGGCAAACGCAGGGAACUGAAACAUCUAAGUACCUGCAGGAGAAGAAAACAAACGUGAUUCCCCCAGUAGCGGCGAGCGACCGGGGAUAAGCCCAAACCGUUAUUGUUUCGGCAGUAGCGGGGUAGUAGGACUGCGACAUUGAUGAAAUAAAUGAAAUGGAACACUUUGGAAAAUGUGAUCACAGAGGGUGAUAAUCCCGUACAUGCAAGUUUAUGAAUCAUAGCAGACUCCUGAGUAAGUCGGGACACGUGUAAUCCUGACCGAAUCCGCCGGGACCAUCCGGCAAGGCUAAAUACUCCUGAGAGACCGAUAGUGAACCAGUACCGUGAGGGAAAGGUGAAAAGCACUUCGAACAGAAGAGUGAAAUAGUCCCUGAACCCAUACGCCUACAAGCAGUCGGAGCCGCUUCGUGCGGUGACGGCGUGCCUUUUGCAUAAUGAGCCUACGAGUUACUCAUCACCAGCGAGGUUAAGUACUUCAGGUACGUAAGCCGAAGCGAAAGCGAGUCUGAAUAGGGCGUCAAGUUGGUGGUGGUAGACGCGAAACCUUAGUGAUCUACCCAUGGGCAGGGUGAAGGUUUGGUAACACAAACUGGAGGCCCGAACCGGUAAACGUUGAAAAGUUUUCGGAUGACCUGUGGGUAGGGGUGAAAGGCCAAUCAAACUGGGAAAUAGCUCGUACUCUCCGAAAUGCAUUUAGGUGCAGCCUCUGUUGUUUUGUUCUAGAGGUAGAGCUACUGAUUGGAUGCGAGGGCUUCACCGCCUAUCAAAUCCGGCCAAACUCCGAAUGCUAGAACAUGAAGACAGGGAGUGAGCCAGCGGGUGCUAAGGUCCGUUGACGAAAGAGGGAGAACUCAGACCAUCAGCUAAGGUCCCCAAUUGUAUGCUAAGUUGGAAUUAAAACGGGGUGGGACUGCUUAGACAGCUAGGAUGUUGGCUUGGAAGCAGCCAUUCAUUUAAAGAGUGCGUAACAGCUCACUAGUCGAGCGGUCCUGCAUGGAUAAUACGCGGGCAUAAGCAUAUAACCGAAGCUAUGGGAUUGUAGAUGAUACAAUCGGUAGGAGAGCAUUCCAUUCAGCAUAGAAGCAGUAUCGUGAGGUAUUGUGGAGCGGAUGGAAAAGCAAAUGUAGGCAUAAGUAACGAUAAUGCGGGUGAGAACCCCGCACGCCGAAAGAUCAAGGAUUCCCCGGCAAUGUCAAUCAUCCGGGGGUAAGUCGGAUCCUAAGGGUAAGCCGAGUGGCGAUCCCGAUGGCAAACAGGUUAAUAUUCCUGUACUGAUCAUAACUGCGAUGCAGCGACGCAGAGGUGACACUGCUGCGUACUGACGGAAUAGUACGUUGAAACCCGUAUUCUUUGAUACCGGUAGUGAAGCACGCCGGUAGAGAUGAAAGGUGAUAGUACCGCAAUGCUUCGGUUGCGCGGAUAACGCAGGUAAGCUGACUGCCAAGAAAACCUGCUAAGCUUCAGGUAAUGAUCAUCCGUACUGUAAACGGACACACGUGAUCAGGUAGAAAAUACUAAGGCGCUCGAGAGAUUCAUGGUUAAGGAACUAGGCAAAAUGGUCCUGUAACUUCGGGAUAAAGGACGCUCUUGUGAAAGAGCCGCAGAUAAUAGGCCCAGGCGACUGUUUACCAAAAACACAUGGCUAUGCUAAUUCGCAAGAAGAUGUAUAUGGCCUGACACCUGCCCGGUGCCGGAAGGUUAAGAGGAGAGCUCAGAGGCAACUCGAAGGUUUGAAUUGAAGCCCCGGUAAACGGCGGCCGUAACUAUAACGGUCCUAAGGUAGCGAAAUUCCUUGUCGGGUAAGUUC
This 1968-nucleotide ribosomal RNA is filed under the name human gut metagenome. RNAcentral describes it as "bacterial LSU rRNA". It matches the Rfam family "Bacterial large subunit ribosomal RNA", at positions 1 to 1983 of the family's 2925-position model. The record is from RNAcentral.